CCUACGGGCGGCAGCAGUGAGGAAUAUUGGUCAAUGGACGAGAGUCUGAACCAGCCAAGUAGCGUGAAGGAUGACUGCCCUAUGGGUUGUAAACUUCUUUUAUAUGGGAAUAAAAUGUUCCACGUGUGGGAUUUUGUAUGUACCAUAUGAAUAAGGAUCGGCUAACUCCGUGCCAGCAGCCGCGGUAAUACGGAGGAUCCGAGUGUUAUCCGGAUUUAUUGGGUUUAAAGGGAGCGUAGGUGGAUUGUUAAGUCAGUUGUGAAAGUUUGCGGCUCAACCGUAAAAUUGCAGUUGAAACUGGCAGUCUUGAGUACAGUAGAGGUGGGCGGAAUUCGUGGUGUAGCGGUGAAAUGCUUAGAUAUCACGAAGAACUCCGAUUGCGAAGGCAGUUCACUGGACUGCAACUGACACUGAGGCUCGAAAGUGUGGGUAUCAAACAGGAUUAGAUACCCUAGUAGUC
RNAcentral lists this ribosomal RNA (460 nucleotides) under uncultured bacterium. RNAcentral describes it as "partial 16S ribosomal RNA". It matches the Rfam family "Bacterial small subunit ribosomal RNA", at positions 338 to 795 of the family's 1533-position model. The record is from RNAcentral.